RNAcentral lists this transfer RNA (70 nucleotides) under Dipodomys ordii (Ord's kangaroo rat). It matches the Rfam family "tRNA". From Rfam's summary of the family: Transfer RNA (tRNA) molecules are approximately 80 nucleotides in length. Their secondary structure includes four short double-helical elements and three loops (D, anti-codon, and T loops). Further hydrogen bonds mediate the characteristic L-shaped molecular structure. tRNAs have two regions of fundamental functional importance: the anti-codon, which is responsible for specific mRNA codon recognition, and the 3' end, to which the tRNAs corresponding amino acid is attached (by aminoacyl-tRNA synthetases). tRNAs cope with the degeneracy of the genetic code in two manners: having more than one tRNA (with a specific anti-codon) for a particular amino acid; and 'wobble' base-pairing, i.e. permitting non-standard base-pairing at the 3rd anti-codon position. Lineage: Eukaryota; Metazoa; Chordata; Mammalia; Rodentia; Heteromyidae. The record is from Rfam by way of RNAcentral.
GGGAAAGUGGCUCAGUGGUAGAGUGCUUGCCUUGUAUGCAAAAGGCUCUGGGUUCCAUUCCUCAGCACCA